Molecule: ribosomal RNA, 640 nt
Filed under: Aspergillus terreus
Lineage: Eukaryota; Fungi; Ascomycota; Eurotiomycetes; Eurotiales; Aspergillaceae
Description: partial small subunit ribosomal RNA
Rfam family: Eukaryotic small subunit ribosomal RNA
Source: RNAcentral
GAGGGAGCCUGAGAAACGGCUACCACAUCCAAGGAAGGCAGCAGGCGCGCAAAUUACCCAAUCCCGACACGGGGAGGUAGUGACAAUAAAUACUGAUACGGGGCUCUUUCGGGUCUCGUAAUUGGAAUGAGUACAAUCUAAAUCCCUUAACGAGGAACAAUUGGAGGGCAAGUCUGGUGCCAGCAGCCGCGGUAAUUCCAGCUCCAAUAGCGUAUAUUAAAGUUGUUGCAGUUAAAAAGCUCGUAGUUGAACCUUGGGUCUGGCUGGCCGGUCCGCCUCACCGCGAGUACUGGUCCGGCUGGACCUUUYCUUCUGGGGAAUCCCAUGGCCUUCACUGGCUGUGGGGGGAACCAGGACUUUUACUGUGAAAAAAUUAGAGUGUUCAAAGCAGGCCUUUGCUCGAAUACAUUAGCAUGGAAUAAUAGAAUAGGACGUGCGGUUCUAUUUUGUUGGUUUCUAGGACCGCCGUAAUGAUUAAUAGGGAUAGUCGGGGGCGUCAGUAUUCAGCUGUCAGARGUGAAAUUCUUGGAUUUGCKGAAGACUAACUACUGCGAAAAGCAYUCGCCAAGGAUGUUUUCAUUAAUCASGGGACGAMAMUUARGKGSAUCGAAGACRAUCARAUACYGUCGUAGUCUUAACC